Molecule: ribosomal RNA, 252 nt
Filed under: uncultured bacterium
Lineage: Bacteria
Description: partial 16S ribosomal RNA
Rfam family: Bacterial small subunit ribosomal RNA
Source: RNAcentral
UACGUAGGGUGCAAGCGUUAAUCGGAAUUACUGGGCGUAAAGCGUGCGCAGGCGGUUCGCUAAGACAGAUGUGAAAUCCCCGGGCUUAACCUGGGAACUGCAUUUGUGACUGGCGGGCUAGAGUAUGGCAGAGGGGGUAGGAAUUCCACGUGUAGCAGUGAAAUGCGUAGAGAUGUGGAGGAAUACCGAUGGCGAAGGCAGCCCCUGGGCCAAUACUGACGCUCAUGCACGAAAGCGUGGGGAGCAAACAGG